CGGAGUCGAGCGAAAAUAUAAGCUCCUGCCCGUGACCCGGUUCGUCAUGGCGGCCAGAAAGCCUCGCUCGGUGGCCAACCCUUUGGAGUCCGCUAUCACUUCACCGAGUGAGAGGAUACUGAGAGAAUGCCACAGUUUGUAUGUCGACAGCGAAAACGGCCUGGUCAAGAUUGCCAGCAGCCUCGGAGUGCGUCUACUGCCCCCCAGGAAGAAAAUUAUUGUGAUGAUCAUGGGUAACCACUCUGCAGGAAAGAGCUCCUUCAUCAAUUGGUAUGUCGAAGAGCACAUCCAAAAAACUGGUGUUGCCAUCGAAACGCAGGGCUUCACGUUCAUCACAAGUGGGCGUAAAAGAGAAUCAUUGACGGGGAAUGCAACGUUACAUCUCUACCCCCAUUUUCGACCGCUCCUUGAGUUCAAAGGUGUUAUGGACUACCUGUCGGCGGAGAUCUCCACCUCCAAGCAGAAGAAGUUCAGCCUUGUGACCUUUGUGGACACACCUGGCUUGGUGGACGGGGACAUGAUUUACCCUUUUAAUGUCAACAGCGCCAUCACAUGGCUGGGAGAACAGUCCGAUCUGAUAUUUGUAUUCUUCGACCCGAUGGGUCAGGCGCUGUGCAGGCGCACGCUAAACAUUGUGGAGAAACUGAGCGAGAAAUGCGGAGACAAGCUUUUGUUCUACCUCAGCAAGGCCGAUGAAGCUGGCAAGGAAACGGACCGACAGAGAGUGAUGAUGCAGAUCGUCCAGGAAUUGUGCCGCCGCCAAGGUCUCAACAAAUGUGGUUUUGAAAUGCCAACAAUAUAUAUCCCAAACCCGCAGAAGCCAAGCCGCUGUGUCAACCAGAUCGACGGCGUGUGCCAAACCAUCGAAAAGACCAUCAGCCAGGCUGUGCAGAGGACUUUGGACCAGUUGGAGAAAGACUGUGAUUUAAUUUGCUCCACCAUCAGCAACAGACUACAACAGGACAGGACUGAUGCCACUUGCAACCAAAAUGUCCGGCUGAACUCGUUGGUGUGCGGUGCUUUGGGAGUCUUCCUUCCUCUUCUCUUCAUCCUGAGUUUUGUUGUGAGCGCCUUCUCUAAAGGGCAGCUCGGUGAGCUGAUGGGCCAAGGGCCUGCACAAACCCUUACCAUCUGCACUGGAAUAGUCAUGUACGUAUGGGAUUGGAUUCCAGAAGAUGGACAAGUUGUUUUUAUAAUGUUUUUUGGAGCCUUUUGCUACUUCCUACUUUUCCUAGCUAAACAUUUUUCUGGUCAAAGAAACAAGACUUUAACAAAGAAGGAGAAGAGGACGAUGAAAGAGUACAGUGAUUAUAUCCUGGAUAUCGUCAAAACCAGGAAGGGUAAAUUGUAUGAAUGGUACCUCCAGCAAUGCGCUGCAGAAUAUGACCUUUGACCCUGGGUUAGACGAAUGUUCUUCACACUUGUGCGUAUAUCAGCACAGCACAGCGUUGAAAGUUCAAUGCGGUGGUCCUGCAGGAAGUCCAGGGAUCGCAAGCGCAGCUGUUCUGCCGUGCUGUCUAGGGACUGAGGAUCUUUGACGUGACAGACGGAGGCUUCCACGUAGUCCCGCGAUUUGCGGUAAGCUUGGAGCAAGGCGGAGUCGUCGUCCGAGUUGCGUCCGAGGGCCCCGUUCGGUCUGCAGUCGGCGAAGGGACUCGCCUUGCCGUUAGGCGAAAGGCCAUCCGCCUCUUUUUCUUUUUCCAGGAGCGAGAGUUCCACUUUGACUUCCACUGCACAACACAGGCACACGUUGUCACGAGCGACUUUCGAACGCAAAUCAAGAGCAAACGCGCUCUGACGUCUGCACCGGUGGAACAAACGAAAGCGGGAAAAAGGUGAAGGAACUCAUUCAAACUUUUUUUGCUUUUCUUUCUGUUAGCUGUCAUGACUAAUUCCUUCAUGAAUUAUUUGGAGAAAUGAGUCAUUUACCUUCAUUCGUCAAUAAUCAUAAGAAUAAUUCUAAUUGUCGUCAGUUUUGCAUUAAAAACAUUUAUUGAUUUAUUGAUGAUACUCAAUUAUAUUCAAAUGAAACGGUAUAAUUAUCACAUGAAUGGAUUUGCUUAAACAUUCAUUUAGUGUGUUUUCUUUUGUCCUUUUAAUGCAAAGGACAAAGGACGAAAACAUUUGAGUAAAUAAACAUAAUACUCGAAACAGCACAAAUUAGGGGACAUUUUCAACUUACCUGCUCAACAGGUGUACACACUAAAAUGCUUCUAAUUCCAUCUGAUGUGUGACUUUUAGAUUUACUGCACAUGAAAAAAAAUAAAUAUAUAUAUAUAUUUUUAUUUUUUUAUUUUAUUUUUUUAUUUUAUUUUAUAUAUUUUUUAUUUUUUGGGGGGGUGCAGCAUGCUGUAUCUGUUUGGCUGGGGGAAAUGUGCUGAUUGUCCAGCUCUUACAAAGUAAUCUGACUGGAAUUUUCUCCCGCUGAGUAAGUCUUAAUUAAAGCGAAUGGAAAAUUGGAAUAGUGUGGGCAAUUGGCGGGGAACAGAAAGAAAACGUUGGAGGGAACCGCUUGACGCUGAUGCACAUAAAAUCUUAAAAACAUCAGCACACGAGGAAACAUCCUUUGCGUUACAAGUAGGGCUGUAUCUUCAACAGCACUGUACAUAUAUUUGGAAUUUGGUGAGGGUACACUUCGCUUGUUUAUUCCUGCAUUGUUUUUGUCAAUAACAAUGACUUUUUUUCCACAUCCAACCUUAACCUCCUACACGUGACACAUUAACCUGAUGUUUAAUGCAAAAGCGAAAGCUUGUGUUAUUAUUAGCUGCAAUGACGCACGCUCAUCUUCUCAUCAGGCCAGAAAUACAAGCACACAAACGGCUAAACACACACACACAUAAUGUCAGGUUUUUAUAUUCAUGUAUAUGUAAUCCUCUUGAGUAAGAUGCCAUAAUAGCAUUAAAAUUCCUCCUGCGUGAAACACUACACUGCAAGCGGAGUAGGUUGGACAUAAAAGGGUGAACAUGGUCCCGUAUGAAGGUUAGGGUUGGUAUCCUUCAAAAUGCUGCGAAAUGGAACGAAUGCCUCCCUGCCCUGCAGACUGAUGCACCGCCGCUAAAACAGAGCGAUUUCUUUGAUGAGAUAAAUAUCCAGCACCUUUGCAAAAGGAAUUCUUCAAAAAGUGCAAAAAGCCAAUCAAACGUUCGUUGGGCGAUCUAAAAUGUCAGCUGCUCAAGGUACCAAAAGGGGAUGCCGGCUAAAAGGCAACAUUAUUGUGCUUUUAGGAGUGCGAUGACUGAAUUAGCUAUAUAAAAGUAUCGUGUCGAAUGCAUAACUAAAAAAAAGUGGCAAUUCAAGCCGAUUAUACAUGUUCUGUACUGCAUUUCCUCAUGAGGGUCAAAGGUGAGCUGGAGCCUAUCCCAGCUGACUUUGAGCCGCUCAAUCGCCAAAUGGACUGCCGCAAUCUAGAACUGUCGGGCUGACAAUCACUAAUAGCUUGGCAAACAAAGAUAGAGGUAUCGGUCACCUGGUUUGGAGAAGCAUCCUCCCAUGGUGGGCUCGGGACGGACAGAGAGCUGAGGGGCGGCGACUUCCGGCCUCGGGAUCCUCGGAUGCGGCGACGUCACAGAAGUGCGGCUAUGAGAACCCGCACGUCCGCGAGGGACGUUGCGCACGUCAAUCCCUCCGCAUUAGCUGCACGGACACAAGAAAGCGUCACGUGAACAACGAACGCGUCUUCACACAUUUUGAUCACAAAGAUACUGCUUGCUUGUGUCCCACAGGGACACAUUGCUCUGAAAGUUGUUGAACUGAGAUUUGGUGGCUUUUGGUUUUUUUCUGUUAUUGGGUUAUGACAUAUUGAAAAUGGAGGGAUGAACGUUUGGGCAAAGACAAUUCUGACCGCGUCUGCCAAUUCAAGUUAAAGAAAGCCAAAUCCAUUCUGUACUGCUUCACAGGUUCCUAUGGACAACAAUUCUGGACUAUUCAAAUGUGUUAGCUGUGGAAGAAAUGGCAAAAGAAUCCUAUCCUCAUUUUUUGUAGGCACUUUUCCGAAAUCUCAUGUUGGUGCUUGUUAAAAGGAAGCAAUCUUGCUAAUUGACGAGAUUAGUCCACACAUGCUUACCUUUGUUCAUGCAUAUUGCAUCGUGGAACUGUUAACUAUUAACCGCACUCCAACAACUAUUAACUUUCUUGUCACAGUCCACAUUAAAGCGAAGCCAGGGGCCCCUCCA
Molecule: RNA transcript, 4172 nt
Organism: Phyllopteryx taeniolatus (common seadragon)
Lineage: Eukaryota; Metazoa; Chordata; Actinopteri; Syngnathiformes; Syngnathidae
Exons: 15
Source: RefSeq, a predicted model, not a curated record